GAUGAAGAACGUAGCGAAAUGCGAUAAGUAAUGUGAAUUGCAGAAUUCAGCGAAUCAUCGAAUCUUUGAACGCACAUUGCGCCCGCCAGUAUUCUGGCGGGCAUGCCUGUCUGAGCGUCAUUUCAACCCUCAGCCCCCGCUCGCGGGGCGCUGGCGUUGGGGAUCGGCCGUCCUCGCGGCGGCCGGCCCCGAAACACAGUGGCGGUCUCUCGCGGACUCCCCUGCGUAGUAGCACUACCUCGCAGAAGGGACGAGCGGGCUGACCACGCCGUAAAACCCCCCACUUCUCCAGGUUGACCUCAGAUCAGGUAGGAAUACCCGCUGAACUUAAGCAUAUCAAUAAGCGGAGGA
Molecule: unclassified non-coding RNA, 351 nt
Filed under: soil metagenome
Description: partial contains 5.8S ribosomal RNA, internal transcribed spacer 2, and large subunit ribosomal RNA
Rfam family: 5.8S ribosomal RNA (bases 1-120)
Source: RNAcentral